Molecule: RNA transcript, 1031 nt
Organism: Fragaria vesca subsp. vesca
Lineage: Eukaryota; Viridiplantae; Streptophyta; Magnoliopsida; Rosales; Rosaceae
Exons: 4
Source: RefSeq, a predicted model, not a curated record
AGAGAGAGCGAGAGAGAGAGAGAGGCAGACAUCGCCGCUCAGCCCUCUCUCCACCAUCUCUAAAUCCUACUCCGACGACCCCUCCUUAACGACUCCUCCCUCCAACUCCACCACCUCGACGCCCUCUCCUCCAAACCAAACCCUAUCCGAGCUCUUUCAUCUCCUCCUGAGCCUCACCGUCUUCUACAACCAAAGCCAGAAUCAGCGACCCCUUCUCCUACUCUCUCCUCGCAUGCUUCACCAUCGAAGAUCAUACUCGUUCCUUUUAACUCCAAACCAUGUUUCCCAUUCUCAUAGCCUCCACAUCGUCUCUAGAGAACAAGGAAGGGUCACAAUGGUGGAUUGGAGCUCGGUAGUUGUAGCGGUGGUGUAGUCUGUAGCAGGUCACACUAAAAGUGUUGCAAGUUUGGGCUAUAAAUCUACAGACUCGCGAGUUUGGCAGAAGCAUGAAUCCUGGUGAGGACAUGCAAUGUUUCACAUUCUUGCACUACCACAAAAGUGGACAAGCGGAUACCAAUUCUUCGUCACCGUUGAGUUAAUGGAGAACUAUGGGAAGGACGAUCAAGAGUGUGUUGCAAAAGUGAGAGAGCUAUACGAUGCCCUUGAUCUUCAGGAGUUGAUCUUUAAGGAAUUAACAAAAACCCUCAAGCAGGAUGACAGGCUGCUAUAACUGGUGGCAUCUUCUUUGUCAUAAUUUGGUAAGAUUUUCCUCUUGUCUAUGCACUAAAUACAUAUGUUGGUUUGUACGAUUGACUGUUAGAAAGAAAUUGGACUUGGACAUUUUCUAUUUACUUUAGUAUUUAUCAGUUGGUUUUAAUCAAGUUAAAUAGCAGAAUUAUGUAACUAGUAAUCCUAAUGCAGUUGUCAUAAGCCUCAAGUCUUAUCUCUUUGUGAAACUAGGAGUCUCAUCGAUUGACAACCUCUUCAAUAUGAAGAGUUAGUGAUAAGCCUCAAGUCUCUAAACAGAUAAACUUUAAUCAGACUUUGGACUCUAUUGGUGAGCACAAAGUUAAGUUUAUGCCACUAUAUAA